AGGACGAACGCUGGCGGCGUGCUUAACACAUGCAAGUCGAGCGGUAAGGCCUUUCGGGGUACACGAGCGGCGAACGGGUGAGUAACACGUGGGUGAUCUGCCCUGCACUCUGGGAUAAGCCUGGGAAACUGGGUCUAAUACCGGAUAUGACCUGCUCUCGCAGUGGGGGUGGGUGGAAAGAUUUAUCGGGUGCAGGAUGGGCCCGCGGCCUAUCAGCUUGGUUGGUGGGUAAUGGCCUACCAAGGCGACGACGGGUAGCCGACCUGAGAGGGUCGACCGGCCACGACGUGGGACUGAGACACGGCCCAGACUCCGUACGGGAGCAGCAGUGGGAAUAGUGCACAAGUGGGACGAAAGCCUGAUGCAGGCCGACGCCGCGGUGAGGAUGGAACGGUCCGUUACGGGUUCGUAAACCCGUUC
Molecule: ribosomal RNA, 420 nt
Filed under: uncultured soil bacterium
Lineage: Bacteria
Description: bacterial SSU rRNA
Rfam family: Bacterial small subunit ribosomal RNA
Source: RNAcentral